UACGUAGGGUGCAAGCGUUGUCCGGAAUUAUUGGGCGUAAAGAGCUCGUAGGCGGUUUGUCGCGUCUGCUGUGAAAACUCGGGGCUUAACCCCGGGCCUGCAGUGGGUACGGGCAGACUAGAGUGCGGAAGGGGCAACUGGAAUUCUUGGUGUAGCGGUGAAAUGCGUAGAUAUCAAGAGGAACACCUGCGGCGAAGGCGGGUUGCUGGGCCGACACUGACGCUGAUGCGCGAAAGCUAGGGGAGCGAACGGG
This 253-nucleotide ribosomal RNA is filed under the name uncultured bacterium. RNAcentral's name for it is "partial 16S ribosomal RNA". It matches the Rfam family "Bacterial small subunit ribosomal RNA", at positions 524 to 776 of the family's 1533-position model. The record is from RNAcentral.